This 248-nucleotide unclassified non-coding RNA is filed under the name uncultured fungus. RNAcentral describes it as "partial contains 5.8S ribosomal RNA, internal transcribed spacer 2, and large subunit ribosomal RNA". The record is from RNAcentral. RNAcentral also lists the same sequence under 1 other name. Lineage: Eukaryota; Fungi.
AACGCACAUUGCGCCCCUUGGUAUUCCAUUGGGCAUGCCUGUUCGAGCGUCAUUUACACCCUCAAGCUACGCUUGGUGUUGGGCGUCUGUCCCUGCUUUACGCAAGGACUCGCCCCAAAUUUAUUGGCAGCGGCAUUGUCGGCUUCUUGCGCAGCACUUCGCGCCUUGAAGAUCCCCGGCGGGCUUGCGUCCACUAAGAACCCCCCCAGUUUGACCUCGAAUCAGGUAGGGAUACCCGCUGAACUUAA